UUUCCUGUGGUGCAAUUGGCAGCACAACUGAUUUUGGUUCAGUUGAUCGUGGUUCGAAUCCAUGCAGGAAAA
This 72-nucleotide transfer RNA is filed under the name Mucilaginibacter sp. OK283. RNAcentral's name for it is "tRNA_Gln_TTG". It matches the Rfam family "tRNA". From Rfam's summary of the family: Transfer RNA (tRNA) molecules are approximately 80 nucleotides in length. Their secondary structure includes four short double-helical elements and three loops (D, anti-codon, and T loops). The record is from RNAcentral. RNAcentral also lists the same sequence under 2 other names. Lineage: Bacteria; Pseudomonadati; Bacteroidota; Sphingobacteriia; Sphingobacteriales; Sphingobacteriaceae.